This 464-nucleotide ribosomal RNA is filed under the name Daphnia obtusa group sp. 4 NA. RNAcentral describes it as "partial large subunit ribosomal RNA". It matches the Rfam family "Bacterial large subunit ribosomal RNA", at positions 1859 to 2588 of the family's 2925-position model. The record is from RNAcentral. Lineage: Eukaryota; Metazoa; Arthropoda; Branchiopoda; Diplostraca; Daphniidae.
CUGCUCAAUGCAUUUUUGUAAAUGGCCGCAGUAUUCUGACUGUGCUAAGGUAGCAUAAUCAUUAGUCUCUUAAUUAGAGGCUGGUAUGAAUGGCGAGACGAGAAAAAAGCUGUCUCUAGAAUAACUAUUGAACUUUAUUUUUGAGUGAAAAAGCUUAAAUGUGUUUGGGGGACGAUCAGACCCUUUGGAGCUUUAUUUUGGUAAUACUUUAGGUUAAGUUUAAUGACAAAGGUUGUACUUAAAUUUUGUUGGGGCGACAGAAAGUUAAAAAAUACCACUUUCUUUAAGAAACAUAAAUAUAUGGAAUAAUGAUCCCCUAUGAGGGAUUAAAAGACUAAGUUACCCUAGGGAUAACAGCGUAAUCUUUUUGAAGAGUUCUUAUCGAUAAAAAGGUUUGCGACCUCGAUGUUGGAUUAAGAAAUUAGCAAGGUGCAGAAGUUUUGCUGGAAAGUCUGUUCGACUUU